GAACUGUUAGCUCAGUCGGUUCAGAGUACUGCCUUGACAUGGCAGGGGUCGCCGGUUCAAGUCCGGCACAGUUCA
This 75-nucleotide transfer RNA is filed under the name Odoribacteraceae bacterium. Its description in RNAcentral is "tRNA-Val". It matches the Rfam family "tRNA". From Rfam's summary of the family: Transfer RNA (tRNA) molecules are approximately 80 nucleotides in length. The record is from RNAcentral. Lineage: Bacteria; Pseudomonadati; Bacteroidota; Bacteroidia; Bacteroidales; Odoribacteraceae.